GAAAGGAAGCAGAUUUCCCCCAGUUUUCCAGGAGCACUCAAGCGCGGGACCUGGGAGGCUUUUAAAGAAAGGAGAAGAAAGGCCAGCUCAGUGAAGGUGUGGGGACAGACUACAGCAGUUGCCUGCUCCUCAGCUCAUAAAUUGAGGGACUGGCCCUGUGUGAGCCAUCAGCUACGUGAGAAAUUGAGAUGCCCCCCUUUCCUGCCAUCAUCUUCAGUCUACCUCCAGUACAUACAGUCUUAUGGCCCUGAGGUGAGUUUCAGGCCCCGGCUGACUCACGGCACUCCAGAACCUACACUUUACCCAUCAGCCAGUGUCUGCCAGUUCCAGCCCUCCAGUGGGUAGCAGCCACAUAAGCAGUGUGAUGAAGGAGCAGAUUGUGGGUGGGAUGAAAAGCUCUGUCUGUCCCUGAGGGCCAGAGCUGGAGUUCAC
RNAcentral lists this long non-coding RNA (432 nucleotides) under Lepisosteus oculatus (spotted gar). Its description in RNAcentral is "lncRNA (ENSLOCG00000023045.1)". Lineage: Eukaryota; Metazoa; Chordata; Actinopteri; Semionotiformes; Lepisosteidae. The record is from RNAcentral.